This is a long non-coding RNA of Oreochromis niloticus (Nile tilapia), 378 nucleotides long. RefSeq lists it as uncharacterized. The record is from RefSeq and is a predicted model, not a curated record. NCBI's taxonomy places the organism in Eukaryota, Metazoa, Chordata, Actinopteri, Cichliformes, Cichlidae. The transcript has 2 exons.
GGCAGAUGAAGCUUCAUGAAGCACUGAAGCUUUUCAUCCAAUUGGUUCACCCCAGCGCAAAGCAUCUUGAAGCUUCAUUUGCUCUAGUAGGACAUCUACUGGACGUAAAAAUAUUAGUUGGCAUGAAUUUGAAGAGUGUGGCAUUUUGCACACAGCCUGUAAAUGUCAACAACAAAAGGAGUGUGUAAAACAUGUAUAUUGUAGUGAUGGCAGUAUACUGUGUAUAUUUAUACUGGCAGUAUGGAAAAUGAUUAUUUGGAAAUGCUUAAAAUGGAAAUGAUCAUUUACUGUGAGGUGAGGUGUGGUUGGGGUAUGGACAGCUACACACUGAGGCUUUGAGCCUCAGUCCUGCCUGUUCACAUUUUAUUCUGUAAAAAC